Molecule: ribosomal RNA, 434 nt
Filed under: uncultured Clostridium sp.
Lineage: Bacteria; Bacillati; Bacillota; Clostridia; Eubacteriales; Clostridiaceae
Description: partial 16S ribosomal RNA
Rfam family: Bacterial small subunit ribosomal RNA
Source: RNAcentral
ACGGAAGGCAGCAGUGGGGAAUAUUGCACAAUGGGGGAAACCCUGAUGCAGCGACGCCGCGUGAGUGAAGAAGUUAUUCGUAAUGUAAAGCUCUAUCAGCAGGGAAGAAAAUGACGGUACCUGACUAAGAAGCCCCGGCUAACUACGUGCCAGCAGCCGCGGUAAUACGUAGGGGGCAAGCGUUAUCCGGAUUUACUGGGUGUAAAGGGAGCGUAGACGGUCUGGCAAGUCAGAAGUGAAAUGCAGGGGCUCAACUCCUGAACUGCUUUUGAAACUGUCAGACUAGAGUGCUGGAGAGGUAAGUGGAAUUCCUAGUGUAGCGGUGAAAUGCGUAGAUAUUAGGAGGAACACCAGUGGCGAAGGCGGCUUACUGGACAGUAACUGACACUAAUGCUCGAAAGCGUGGGGAGCAAACAGGAUUAGAUACCCUGGUA